This 253-nucleotide ribosomal RNA is filed under the name uncultured Paracoccaceae bacterium. RNAcentral's name for it is "uncultured Rhodobacteraceae bacterium partial 16S ribosomal RNA". It matches the Rfam family "Bacterial small subunit ribosomal RNA", at positions 524 to 776 of the family's 1533-position model. Lineage: Bacteria; Pseudomonadati; Pseudomonadota; Alphaproteobacteria; Rhodobacterales; Paracoccaceae. The record is from RNAcentral.
UACGUAGGGUGCAAGCGUUAAUCGGAAUUACUGGGCGUAAAGCGCGCGUAGGCGGAUCAGAAAGUUAGGGGUGAAAUCCCAGGGCUCAACCCUGGAACUGCCUCUAAAACUCCUGGUCUUGAGGUCGAGAGAGGUGAGUGGAAUUCCGAGUGUAGAGGUGAAAUUCGUAGAUAUUCGGAGGAACACCAGUGGCGAAGGCGGCUCACUGGCUCGAUACUGACGCUGAGGUGCGAAAGCGUGGGGAGCAAACAGG